RNAcentral lists this unclassified non-coding RNA (1466 nucleotides) under Hevea brasiliensis (rubber tree). The record is from RNAcentral. Lineage: Eukaryota; Viridiplantae; Streptophyta; Magnoliopsida; Malpighiales; Euphorbiaceae.
CCUAUUUACAAAAAUUUUCCUUUCAUCGUUUCUUCUUUCUCUCCUACCGUUCUAUACAAAGCCACAGAAAGGGAGAGCAAACCCAGUAUCAAACUCUGUUCUUAGUUUGUAGAUUAAGAAGAAAAAGUGGAAGUUAUGAAAUUGCUUCAAUUCCUUUUAAUUUAAGACAAUUUGCCGUAAUUCUAAAAGCCAAAAACACCCACAUUAAAGGAGAGUUAUUGUUGAAGAGGGAGACUAUCCCGAUGAGAGAGAAUGCUUAGAUUGUAGGUACCAAGUUCAAAAUUGAAAAAAAUUGCUUCAAAUCAAGAUUGAAAGAGAGCAAGAAAUUGAAGCAAAGAUCAAGGAGAUACUACAAUGUAAAUUUUUCUUUUAUUUUAUGAAUCUCAAUUGGUUGGUUAUGGUGGCUCAAGUCUAGGUGUCUCUAAAUUUGUUAGUGUCUCUAUUUUUAAUUUUUUCUUGAGCAAGAGGAGUAAAAUGAAAUUUUUCACUUUUGAAAAAUGUAAAUUUAUUUUUGAAAGUGUUUUUACUGAAAAAUUUAUCAAAUUAGCUUUCCAAUGGUUUAAACAGAUCAAAAAUCCGAGUUCAAGUCAAAAAGUUAUGAGUUUGUGAAUCUCUAAACUUUUUAGUGUCUCUAUUUUUAACUUUUCUUGUCCAAGGAGAAGUAAAGUGAAAUUUUCACUUUUGGGAAAUACAAAUUUGUUUUUGAAAGAGUUUUAUUGAAAAAAUUAUCAAAUUAGCUUUCCAACAGUUCAAACGAAUAGAAAAUCCGAGUUCGAGUUAAAAAGUUAUGAGUUUUGAAGCCUAAGUGCCAUUUUAUCCAGAGAGCACUUCGGGAGCCGAAAGUGGAAACUUUGGCAGCCGAAAGUGGAAACUUUGGCAGCCAAAAGUAGGAACUUUGACAGCCAAAAGUAGGAACUUCGGUAGCCGAAGUUUACUCCUUAAAUGAUGGUUUUUGUGUGUUUAAACCCUUUUUAUCCAGAGAGCACUUUGGCAGCCGAAGUUCACUUUUUGAAUGGUAUUUUUUGGCACUCCAACCUUCGACAGCAGAAGUAAAGAACUUCGAUAGCUGAACUUGGGUUUCUGAAACUCAAUAAAAUAGAGUUUUGGGUAAUUGAACAGCUAUAUUUGCAUUUAAUGCACCCCCAAUGGUCAUUUCCUUGCUAAAACUAUAAAUAGAGGCUAUUUAUGACAGGAGGAAGUGACCACAACUAUUUCUUUGAGAAUUUAUUGUGUUAAAAUGAUUUUUCCCUCUUUUCCCUCUCUAGAACUUGAGCUACCAUAAUUUAUUAUUGAGAGCUUGAUAUUUUGUGCUGUAAUUUCUUUGUUCUGAGAGUUUGUUCAAGGUUGUUGUGAACUUUUAUUGUAACUUGAGUGUGAUAGAAAUUGCUCUUGAGUGUAAAAGAAUUUGUAAAAGAGCGAGGGUUUACUCUUGUAGUGAUUGUAAGCGGUUUAUUUUUCAUCCAAAG